This 1514-nucleotide long non-coding RNA is filed under the name Capra hircus (goat). Its description in RNAcentral is "lncRNA (ENSCHIG00000002749.1)". Lineage: Eukaryota; Metazoa; Chordata; Mammalia; Artiodactyla; Bovidae. The record is from RNAcentral.
AUGGGUUGCCAUUUCCUCUUCCAGGAGCCCUGGAGGUCCAAAUGGCUUCAUCCAGGUUUGAAAAGUCAUUCAAGAGUGUUCAAAACCAAGACUAAGAAGAAUCAACUCAUAUUGGCUGAAACGAUCUCUUGGGGAUUCUGGCUGGAUCUGAUGGAAAUACUUUAGGGUACUUCCCGACCAAUUUGGACAAUGCAGGAACUUCAGGAUAACUUUUUUAGAAGUGGAAUUACAAGCCAGAAACAUUAAAUAAAUGACAAAAUUGCAUUCCAGAAGGACUGCAGGACUUUACCUUCUCACUUCCAGCCAAGGAACUUCUCUGUUUCUCCACACUGAUGACAGUAUUGAGAAUUUUUACGUAAAACUUUUUACACUAGUAUUAUAAUAUCUUAAUUUAAAUUUGUACUUCUUUGACUACUAUUGAGAAUAAUUUAAAAUAUUUUUUUAUUUUAUGCAAGUUGUCUCUUUCCUUUUCCCUAUUCGCUUGUAAAAAUUCUUGAUAUAAAUAUUUCAACUUGUGAUCUGUCAGGUAUUUGGCAACUGUUAUCCUCAAAAAUUUUGUUUAGGAUUUUUUUUGUGAUUCAUACAUUGUUUGUUUUUCAAAGACAAAUUUGCCUACCUUUUAUCUAUGUGGGUUUUUUUUUUUUUUGCCUUAGCUUUGUACUUGGUAAGUCUAAAACUCAAGAUCUCUGACCUAUGUUUUCUUCUAGGCUAAACAUUAAACAUCUAGAAAGUAUAUUGAUGCUAAUUUGAGGUGAAGAUUAAUGUCAUAUAGUCUCCAAAUAGCUAAUCUUUUUUCACAGGAUUAUUUAUUAAAUAAAGCUUCCUUUUCUUUUUUUUAAAAAAAAUUCAAUUAUGGUUGACUUACAAUAUUAGUUUCAUUGUACAACUUAGUGAUUUGUCACUACUUCCACAGGUUAUAUACUAUACAAGUAUGUGUGUUAGUUGCUGAGUAGUGUCUGACUCUUUGCAAUCCCCUGGACUGUAGCCUGCCAGGCUCCUCUGUCCAUGGAAUUCACCAGGCAAGAAUACUGGAGUGGGUUGCCAUGCCCUUCUCCAAUAUACUGUACAAAGUUUUUAUAAAAUAUUGGCUAUAUUUCCUGUGCUGUGUAUUACAUCCUUGUGACUUAUUUAUUUUGUACCUAGUAGUUUGUACCUCUUAAUCCCCUUCACUUAUUUUGACCCUUCCUUCAACCCAUCCCCUCUAGUUUAUCUGUAUCUUGAGUUGGUUUCUAUUUUGUUGUAUUCAUUCAUUUUAUUUUUUAGAUUCUACAUAUAAGUGAAGACAAAACACAUAUUUGUCUUUCUCUGACUUAUUUCACUAAACAUAGCACACUCCAGGUCCACCCAUCUUGUUGCAGAUGGCAAAAUUUUAUUCUUUUUUAUGGCUAAGUACUAUUUCAUUAUAUACAUAUACAUAUACAUGUAUGUAUAUAUGUACUAUCACAUCUUCCAUAUUCAUUCAUCUGUUGAUCAACACUUGGGUUGUUUCCAAUAUUCUCACAUAAUGUUCUUUA